UCCUAAGGUCUUAUGCUCUUAUUUUAUAUUUUCUCACUUAUAAAUAUUUUUAGAAAAUCUAAAUAUUGGUAGGGAAGAUGGAGACACAAGAUUAAACCUUCCUGGCACCUGGGGCACUCAGUUGGUGAUAUGGGGAGGAUGACAGCUGUUUCAACCUAGUUACCUUUGGAAACAUCUCCCUCCCUCCUAUCCACUCCCCUCAAUACAGUGAAUGGUGAAAGCCAGGCAACAAUAACAGUACCUAGGACAACCUGGAGGAACAGGUUCUGCAACCCUGCCCAGCUCACCUGUUAUCUGAUACCACCACUUAGAUGGCAGAAUGAGCGUGUAACGGGUUUGGAAAUGUGCCCAAGCUGAGGCCGCAAAUGCAAGAAGCAGCCCUCAUGUUGAGAAGUGGGAAGGGUAGGACAAAUCACUACUUGACGUAUGCCAGUCACAUAAUUUCACAACAGAGUGGAUAAAGGAACCCCACACAAAAGGAAAUAGAAAAAUGUUAAAGUGAAGCCACUAUAUAACAUACAUGUUUUUCAUAGAU
Molecule: long non-coding RNA, 535 nt
Filed under: Canis lupus familiaris (dog)
Lineage: Eukaryota; Metazoa; Chordata; Mammalia; Carnivora; Canidae
Description: lncRNA (ENSCAFG00000057322.1)
Source: RNAcentral